Long non-coding RNA from Seriola aureovittata, 2822 nucleotides. RefSeq lists it as uncharacterized. The record is from RefSeq and is a predicted model, not a curated record. The transcript is spliced from 2 exons. Lineage: Eukaryota; Metazoa; Chordata; Actinopteri; Carangiformes; Carangidae.
GCAGUGAGUAUCAAGAUAGUUAGAGGAGGAAACAUCAGAGCGGUUCAGCCACAUGUUUCAGCCUCAGUCAGACACAGACUGAGGAGUUUGGUGAAGAGUGAGGAGUUUGUUGUGCACCAGAAUUGGCAGCUAGAGGACAUAUCAGAGCGGGACACAUCCAAGCUCAACGGGGUAGAGGCCCACUGCUGCCCCAGCAGAAGGCCUCACACCAGGGCCUUGAUUUAAUCAUGGCCCAGCAAGGGGAGAGGCCAAGCAGGCAACAAAGCUGCCCUCCAGCCUUCCAUCCUCCUGCCAUCAAUGCUCCCUGUAGGUUGACCCAGGAGAGGCCAUCCCUCACCCUCCACCCUCCACCCGGGCUGUUUGAAGAUGAGAGGAACUGUGUGUGCGGGGAGGGACAGCCAAGAGGAGGAGAGGCAGAUGAAACCCUGGUUGUUCUCUUUGAACUGCUAAUCACGGUGUUUAAAGCUGACCUCGCUUCCUGUCUCUCUUUCUGUGUUUGGCUCAUUAAAAUACGCACCCCGAUAAAAGGUCCAGAUGGGAAUUCACCAUGAACUACAAUUCCUACCUCAGUUUCAGUCAAAUCCGUACACCUCAAAGAUAAAAUAAUAAACAAACAGGUUAGAACUGCACAUGAGUCCAACAGAAGAUAUUUAAUAAUCCACCACAUUACUUUACCAUUUCAUCAAUAUAAAUAAGGAUGGAAUGCAGCUGCUCCCUGGUUGACAAUGAAAUCAGGGGUUUUAAAAUGGCCAUGUAGACACCUGGCAAUAAAAUCUGUCUUGCAUGAUGUCAAGUGGCUCUAAAUGCAAACCCUAUUGUGGGUGCACUGGGGCUAGUCUACCUUAUCAAUAGUCAAGGUGGUCAGGGACAUUUGUGACCACACAUGUAGUGUGAGCAAAAAUGCCUCAUUGACUUCACUGACAGAAAGCCAACUGAACUUAAUAAUAAAUAAUCAAAAAUGCCAAAUCUCUGUAUCAUAUAACCACUGAAAUCUUUUUCUAUAAUGGUACAAAAACAAAUGUGUAUGUUUUUUUCUUCUUAGCAAUUUGUUGAGUGAAAUUUAUGUAAAAUCUGUAUGAUGUCUCACACAUUGGGCUAUAUCUAAAUAUUUGUCCACACUAGUAUUUUUUUGGCUGGACCGCAUCAGUGGGGCCGGCCCAACAAUCUGGAAUGUCACUGACUGAGUGACUGACAGACUGAUGAUAUUUCCACUACUAGUCAGCGGAGUGACGAGCCGCAGUCUACCGAGCUGCUCUGGUUUCCUGGCUGCAUGGGAACUGCAGGGAAGUGGAGGAGCACUUCCAAUACACUGAACCUCAUCUCCAUUACAGCAAAUAAACUACUUUCUUUGCAUGUAUGAUUAUUACUAAAGGAGCCAGAGGAAUAACCUAACAUAAGGCACACCGAGCAAAGAGAGCAGGAGAAAGGGAAGUAGAGGGAGAAUUCAUGAAUGACGAGGCUUCGUACUAACAGGUAUGACCAACUCUACAUAUCAAACAGGAAGUUAGACAUAAAGAUGUGCCUCGAAUAAAAGUCUCUUCUUGGAAGUAAAUAAAGGCUAAAAUAUUGUGGAUUCCAAACGACAAGUAAAAUUGCGAUCACAGAGACAGUUAGUGACAACACGUCUUGCGUCACUUCCAAUAGGUUUCCUCAUCCAUACUAAAAUUGCGAGGCUGUAUUCCGCCAGACUGGAGAGUGUUUUUGAAAGUCAAAACAGGGUGAAAAAAAAGUGUUUUCAGAUUUAGCUGGCUUAGUGUGGACGUGGUCUGAGUUGCAUUCUAAUGUGAGGCGUGAACUGCAGAGCAUGUUUAUUAGAUCUUGAUCCAGUUUGGAUACAUUUCCACAGACGGCAUUAGGUCUGAAAAAAAUGGAUAAGGAAGGGUGGAGCAUGGAAGGUGGACAUGAUGAGACGGAGGAGAGUAGGGUAGCAGGGGAACAAUCAAUCAUCACUCCUGUUGGUUUAUAUUGACUCUGCAGUCCCACUGGGCUACCACGGUCAAUGUGCUUUCAGGCAUUUUGUGUGGGUCGAUGAAGGAGCGUGCCUGGCUUAACACACACCUUUUAUAGGGAUACGUGCAUGUGUAUUUGUGUAAUAUAUUUGAUGUUUUUAUACAGUAAGUAUUGACAGUUUUUUAUGAAUGUAUAUCAUGUGGAAAGUGUGGCUAUUAGUGUCAAGUAUAAGUGAAUAUAUAUGUUUUAGAAAUUACAACACAUACAUUUAAAGUAUCAACAUAACCACGCCACAGUGAAGCCACAAGGCAUCAGACUUUGCCACUUGCUGAGGUAGUUGACCUUGCUACCAAGCUGUACUGUGCCCAGUGGCAGCCUCCCAAGAACCAACAGUAUCAGUUGGCUUUGGCCCAUCGACUGUGCUUGGCAUUCAUUGUAUCAUAUAAAUGAGUGAUGAAAAAAACCAUCUACAACACACCGUACAAAUAUCUCUGUAACCUGUUAGCCUACACUGAUUUUAAUCAACAAUAGCUCAGUCAGUUUGAACAACAACAAUUGCAAAUAUUCAAAUGAGUGUCUCCAACAGUUAAUUAGAUGUCAGCAGAUUUAAUAGAAAGGACCUUUAUAUUUGGUGGUGACAAAUACUUUGCUUAAAUGAAUCAACAACAAUGGACAUUGUUUUUUUGUUGGUAUUCACAGUUGUUAUAUUUUGGUAAGUAAUGGGUGGGUAAUACGAACAUAAUAUUUUAUCAAGGUAUGUAAAUUAUUAUUGUGAUAUGGAUAUAUUAUGUGAUAUGAUCAUUUAUUCUGGAAAUUAAAUCGAGAAACCAUUUGUAAUUAAAAUAAACAAUGUCAGUGUUUGUUGUUGGGCA